RNAcentral lists this ribosomal RNA (254 nucleotides) under uncultured bacterium. RNAcentral describes it as "partial 16S ribosomal RNA". It matches the Rfam family "Bacterial small subunit ribosomal RNA", at positions 524 to 776 of the family's 1533-position model. The record is from RNAcentral.
GACGUAGGGGGCGAGCGUUGUCCGGAGUUACUGGGCGUAAAGGGCGCGCAGGCGGUCGCGCGCGCCGCACCGUGAAAGCCCCCGGCUCAACCGGGCGGUGGCGGGCGGGACGGCGCGGCUGGAGGGUGGUAGGGGCCAGUGGAAUUCCCGGUGUAGUGGUGAAAUGCGUAGAUACCGGGAGGAACACCCGCAGCGAAGGCGGCUGGCUGGGCCAUUCCUGACGCUGAGGCGCGAAGGCUCGGGGAGCGAACGGG